This 1712-nucleotide long non-coding RNA is filed under the name Homo sapiens (human). RNAcentral describes it as "HSALNT0353066". The record is from RNAcentral. Lineage: Eukaryota; Metazoa; Chordata; Mammalia; Primates; Hominidae.
GAAAAUGGCGGAUGAGGCCGGGCGCGGUGGCUCACGCCUGUGGUCCCAGCACUUUGGGAGGCCGAGGCGGGCGGAUCACAAGGUCAGGAAAUCGAGACCAUCCUGGCGAACACUGUGAAACCCCGUCUCUUCUAAAAAUACAAAAAAAAAUUAGCCAGGCGUGGUGGCGGGCGCUUGUAGUCCCAGCUACUCAGGAUGCUGAGGCAGGAGAAUGGCGUGAACCCGGGAGGCGCAGCUUGCAGCGAGCCAAGAUGGCGCCGCUGCACUCCAGCCUGGGCAGCAGAGCGAGACUCCAUCUCAAAAAAAAAAAAAAAAAAAAAGAAAAGAAAAGAAACUGGCGGACAAAGGAAGAGAUCCUCCUUCAGGCAGGGUAGGGAAGAAGGGCACUCGGUGACCAGAGACCUUUUCCAGGACCAUGUCUUUGAAGCAAAUCUCAGCUCUUGUCUUCCGGAAGCGAUGGAGACAGAAUCCAGAAGCCUGAGACUCUCUCCUUUCCUGGCUUUGAUGAAGCAAGCUGCCACACUGGAGAGGCCUACAUGAUAAGGACCUGAAGGUGGCCUCCAGCUAGCUCCAGCCAACAGUUGGCAAGGAAUUGAGGACCUGAGUCCAAUAGACCUUGAGGAACUGAAUCCUGCAACAGCUACACAAGUGAGCAUGGCAGUGUAUCCUUCCCCAGUAAAGCCUUCAGAUGAGACCCCAGCCCCAGCUGACACCUUGAUUGAAGCCUUGUGAGAGACCCUGAAGCAGAGAAACCAGCUAGGCCUUGCCUGGAUUCCUGAUCCACAAACUGCUUUUGUGAUGCCCUAUAAUUACAUGAACUCUACUAAAAAGAGGGAUACUGGAAAGAAGAAUAAUGUUGAGACACCUUUGCAGAAGAAAAAACAACUUCCUCUCUUCCUCUACUUCACUCUGGCAAGUUCUCCAACCUGACAAGCCAGUAGGGAGUGCCGGAAUGUCAUGGCUGAGAAAAGAGAUGUUAACAGGCUGUAUGAUGUUGGCCACAGAGUGCCCCCCUAAAGAGGCCUCAGAAGAAUGAAGGGAGUGCCGGAAUGUCAUGGCUGAGAAAAGAGAUGUUAACAGGCUGUAUGAUGUUGGCCACAGAGUGCCCCCCUAAAGAGGCCUCAGAAGAAUGAAGGCUGAAAGAGGAUUUCUUCUGUGAGAGCCACACUUGAUGUGCUCAGUUAGAAGUCCUCAUCCAGGGCACAGACUCAGAGGUCGACAGUCACAUCUGUGCUCCCUCACAGGGCAAGCAUCCCAGAGACAGAGCUCUGGCUCCAGCCUCUGCUCAGAGACUCUCAGCGUUACUCCCCUGGUCAGCCCAACAAGAAGGAAGGCUUUGUUGAAUGACGGGUGACAUGGGAAUCUGACUCAUGAUCAAAUUUCAGCAGAGACUAUUCUCCUUCAGAGAGCCCAGACUCUCUAAAUAAUCCCACCUGGGACCACAGAAUUACUGUUUGGGAUUUUAUCCUGGAACUCUCCACCACAGCCGGAUAGGUAGUCUAUGAGCUACAGAUGGAAACCUUUGUCCUCCUGAACCCCUACAUCUGCCCAACCUGUUCCACAGAAGAGUGAAGUUCUAUCCUCUCUUCAGACUUCCCAUCUAAGACAUGUCUCUGUACUAACCAAACUUAUUUAGAAAUGUGGGAAUAGGAUUCGGAAACAAAAACAGGGCAUCUCUCUUGGGUGUUCACCCACAGUUCCUUACCUUUUGG